AAAGUCGUAACAAGGUAACCGUAGGUGAACCUGCGGUUGGAUCAUUACUGAUUACUGUUCUUUAGGGUCGAUGGUUUACCUCCCCUCUAGGACUUUACACACUUUGUGCACCGAGAUUGUAUUUUGGGCUUGUUUGACCUUUUGUCGAGCGAGCCCAGCAUUUUGAAACCACUUUGAAUCCUUCUGAAUUUUUUAUAUUAAAAAAUAACAACUUUUGACAACGGAUCUCUUGGCUCUC
RNAcentral lists this unclassified non-coding RNA (238 nucleotides) under Chytridiomycota sp. Its description in RNAcentral is "partial contains small subunit ribosomal RNA, internal transcribed spacer 1, and 5.8S ribosomal RNA". The stretch from base 1 to 47 matches the Rfam family "Eukaryotic small subunit ribosomal RNA", at positions 1785 to 1831 of the family's 1831-position model. Lineage: Eukaryota; Fungi; Chytridiomycota. The record is from RNAcentral.